This 253-nucleotide ribosomal RNA is filed under the name uncultured bacterium. RNAcentral describes it as "partial 16S ribosomal RNA". It matches the Rfam family "Bacterial small subunit ribosomal RNA", at positions 524 to 776 of the family's 1533-position model. The record is from RNAcentral.
UACGUAGGCAGCGAGCGUUGUUCGGAAUCACUGGGCGUAAAGGGUGCGUAGGCGGGUUUUUAAGCCAGGGGUGAAAUCCUGGAGCUCAACUCCAGAACUGCCUUUGAUACUGAGGAUCUUGAGUUCGGGAGAGGUGGGUGGAACUGCGAGUGUAGAGGUGAAAUUCGUAGAUAUUCGCAAGAACACCAGUGGCGAAGGCGGCUCACUGGCCCGAUACUGACGCUGAGGUACGAAAGCGUGGGGAGCAAACAGG